GUACCAUUCAUAUUAGAGUGUAAUCUCUGUGAGCAGGGACCUCCUUCUCUGUAUUUCACCAUUCAUAUUAGAGUGUAAGCUCUCUGAGCAGGGACCUCUGUUUCUGUAUUUUCCAUUAAUAUUAGAAUGUAAGCUCUGUGACCAGGGACCUCCGUCUCUCUAUUUUACAAUAAUAUUUGAGUGUAAGCUCAGUGAGCAGCAACUUCCCUCUCUGUGUUGC
Non-coding RNA from Pelobates cultripes (western spadefoot toad), 220 nucleotides. NCBI's taxonomy places the organism in Eukaryota, Metazoa, Chordata, Amphibia, Anura, Pelobatidae. The record is from the annotation of a GenBank genome assembly.